CCAUAAUAGUAUUAAUAGUCUAAGAAUUUUAUAAAAGAAAUUGCUUAUUAAAAAGUUAAGAAAGUUAACAGGUCACCGAACACCUCAGUCAUUACAUGUAGCCUAUAAGUAACACAAUGGAUGUUAGAAGUCGAAUAAAAAAAUUGGUUAACAACAAUAGAACAAAGUUUAUUGAUCAGAUGGAUGCGUUCUUUUUAUUGAAGGAUUUCCUGGACUUCAAGCUACUAAACGAGAGGAGUUAAGAUGCAAACUUCGGAAUUCUGGUAACACGAUAGCUAAUUCUUACCUUCUUGAUGCUAUUUUGAGAGUGAAUGACUUUUAUGGCAAAUUUAUCCAGUUCUGCACAAAACAUGAAGUGUGUUCAGAUCUUGUGAGGUUAAUUCAAGCUGAAAUGGGUACAGUUUCAUAAAAUUGUGUAUUUAACAAAUGUGAAAAGUAAACAAUUAUAAAGUGAGCUGUAUUUUUUGUUGUUUGUUUGUAGAAUCUGGUAGCUGCGGUUCUGUCAUUAUCUGAACA
This is a long non-coding RNA of Physella acuta, 516 nucleotides long. RefSeq lists it as uncharacterized. Lineage: Eukaryota; Metazoa; Mollusca; Gastropoda; Physidae. The record is from RefSeq and is a predicted model, not a curated record.